GAUGAACGCUAGCGACAGGCUUAACACAUGCAAGUCGAGGGGCGAGCGGGGUGGUAGCAAUACACCGCCGGCGACCGGCGCACGGGUGAGUAACGCGUAUGCAACUUGCCUAUCAGAGGGGGAUAACCCGGCGAAAGUCGGACUAAUACCGCAUGGAGCAGGGGUCCCGCAUGGGGAUACUUUGCUAAAGAUUCAUCGCUGAUAGAUAGGCAUGCGUUCCGUUAGGCAGUUGGCGGGGUAACGGCCCACCAAACCGACGAUGGAUAGGGGGUUCUGAGAGGAAGGUCCCCCCACAUUGGGUACUGUGACACGGACCAGACUCCUACGGGAGGCAGCAGUGAGGAAUUAUUGGUCAAUGGGGCUAAGCCUGAACCAGCCAAGUCGCGUGAGGGAUGAAGGUUCUAU
This 405-nucleotide ribosomal RNA is filed under the name uncultured bacterium. RNAcentral's name for it is "bacterial SSU rRNA". It matches the Rfam family "Bacterial small subunit ribosomal RNA", at positions 28 to 420 of the family's 1533-position model. The record is from RNAcentral.